Molecule: transfer RNA, 63 nt
Filed under: Anaxarcha sp. WJ-2021
Lineage: Eukaryota; Metazoa; Arthropoda; Insecta; Mantodea; Hymenopodidae
Also listed under: 1 other name
Description: tRNA-Leu
Source: RNAcentral
UCUAAUAUGGCAGAUUAGUGCAGUGAAUUUAAGCUUCACAAAUAAAGGUGACUUUUUUUAGAA